CCUACCUACAGGGGGCAGCAGUGAGGAAUAUUGGUCAAUGGGCGGGAGCCUGAACCAGCCAAGUCGCGUGAGGGAAGACGGUCCUAUGGAUUGUAAACCUCUUUUGUCGGGGAGCAAAGAGAUCACGUGAGGUCAAAAGCGAGAGUACCCGAAGAGAAAGCAUCGGCUAACUCCGUGCCAGCAGACGCGGUAAUACGGAGGAUGCGAGCGUUAUCCGAAUUUAUUGGGUUUAAAGGGUGCGUAGGCGGGACGGUAAGUCAGCGGGAAA
This 268-nucleotide ribosomal RNA is filed under the name uncultured bacterium. Its description in RNAcentral is "partial 16S ribosomal RNA". It matches the Rfam family "Bacterial small subunit ribosomal RNA", at positions 334 to 598 of the family's 1533-position model. The record is from RNAcentral.